RNAcentral lists this ribosomal RNA (653 nucleotides) under Salmonella enterica. RNAcentral's name for it is "partial 23S ribosomal RNA". It matches the Rfam family "Bacterial large subunit ribosomal RNA", at positions 1 to 687 of the family's 2925-position model. The record is from RNAcentral. Lineage: Bacteria; Pseudomonadati; Pseudomonadota; Gammaproteobacteria; Enterobacterales; Enterobacteriaceae.
GGGUUGUGAGGUUAAGCGACUAAGCGUACACGGUGGAUGCCCUGGCAGUCAGAGGCGAUGAAGGGCGUGCUAAUCUGCGAUAAGCGCCGGUAAGGUGAUAUGAACCGUUAUAACCGGCGAUACCCGAAUGGGGAAACCCAGUGUGACUCGUCACACUAUCAUUAACUGAAUCCAUAGGUUAAUGAGGCGAACCGGGGGAACUGAAACAUCUAAGUACCCCGAGGAAAAGAAAUCAACCGAGAUUCCCUCAGUAGCGGCGAGCGAACGGGGAGGAGCCCAGAGCCUGAAUCAGCAUGUGUGUUAGUGGAAGCGUCUGGAAAGGCGCGCGAUACAGGGUGACAGCCCCGUACACAAAAGCGCAUAUGCUGUGAGCUCGAUGAGUAGGGCGGGACACGUGGUAUCCUGUCUGAAUAUGGGGGGACCAUCCUCCAAGGCUAAAUACUCCUGACUGACCGAUAGUGAACCAGUACCGUGAGGGAAAGGCGAAAAGAACCCCGGUGAGGGGAGUGAAAAAGAACCUGAAACCGUGUACGUACAAGCAGUGGGAGCACCCUUUGGGGUGUGACUGCGUACCUUUUGUAUAAUGGGUCAGCGACUUAUAUUCUGUAGCAAGGUUAACCGAAUAGGGGAGCCGGAGGGAAACCGAGUCUUAA